AGAUAUCCACCGCCACCUCUUCAAAUUUGUCAAGAAAGUCCGGAUUUUUGCGUCGAUGGAUGAACCGAUUUUAGACGCGAUAUGUGAAAGAUUAAGGCAAAAGACAUAUAAAAAAGAAGGAACAACCUUAUAUGAAGGAGGGUUUGUGACAAAAUGGUUUUUAUUGUAAGAGGGAAAAUGGAGAGCACAGGAGAAGAUGGGAAUGUGGUUACGUUAUCUGAAGGUGACGUAUGUGGUGAAGAACUCCUCACAUGGUGCCUUGAACCUUCCUCUCUUAAUGGAGAUGCAAGGACACGGGGAAAGCCAGGAUACAAAUUGGUGUGCAAGAGGACAGUGAAAUGCUUAUCAAAUGUGGAGGCAUUCGUGCUUUGCGCUGCAGAUCUUGAAGAAGUCACCACCCUUUUUUGCUGGAUUUUU
Helianthus annuus (common sunflower) is the source of this 417-nucleotide long non-coding RNA. RefSeq lists it as uncharacterized. The record is from RefSeq and is a predicted model, not a curated record. NCBI's taxonomy places the organism in Eukaryota, Viridiplantae, Streptophyta, Magnoliopsida, Asterales, Asteraceae. The transcript has 3 exons.